UACGUAGGUGACCAGCGUUGUCCGGAUUUAUUGGGUUUAAAGGGUGCGUAGGCGGGUUAUUAAGUCAGUGGUGAAAGCUCCUAGCUCAACUGGGAAAUUGCCAUUGAUACUGAUGAUCUUGAGUAUGAUUGAGGUGGGCGGAAUGUGUCAUGUAGCGGUGAAAUGCUUAGAUAUGACACAGAACACCGAUUACGAAGGCAGCUCACUAAGCCAUAACUGACGCUGAUGCACGAAAGCGUGGGGAGCAAACAGG
This 253-nucleotide ribosomal RNA is filed under the name uncultured bacterium. RNAcentral describes it as "partial 16S ribosomal RNA". It matches the Rfam family "Bacterial small subunit ribosomal RNA", at positions 524 to 776 of the family's 1533-position model. The record is from RNAcentral.